This 494-nucleotide ribosomal RNA is filed under the name uncultured Desulfobulbus sp. RNAcentral describes it as "bacterial SSU rRNA". It matches the Rfam family "Bacterial small subunit ribosomal RNA", at positions 894 to 1382 of the family's 1533-position model. The record is from RNAcentral. Lineage: Bacteria; Pseudomonadati; Thermodesulfobacteriota; Desulfobulbia; Desulfobulbales; Desulfobulbaceae.
CAGAAACUUAAAGGAAGUUGACGGGGCCCGGCACAAGCGGUGGAGUAUGUGGUUUAAUUCGAUGCAACGCGAAGAACCUUACCUGGUCUUGACAUCCCGGAGACCCUUAGGAAACUAGGGGUGCUUCCAUCUGGAAGAAUCUGGAGACAGGUGCUGCAUGGCUGUCGUCAGCUCGUGUCGUGAGAUGUUGGGUUAAGUCCCGCAACGAGCGCAACCCUUGCCUUUAGUUGCCAGCAGUUCGGCUGGGCACUCUAAAGGGACUGCCGGUGUUAAACCGGAGGAAGGUGGGGAUGACGUCAAGUCCUCAUGGCCUUUAUGACCAGGGCUACACACGUACUACAAUGGCCGAUACAAAGGGCAGCGACACUGCGAGGUGAAGCCAAUCCCGUAAAAUCGGUCUCAGUCCGGAUUGGAGUCUGCAACUCGACUCCAUGAAGUUGGAAUCGCUAGUAAUCGUGGAUCAGCAUGCCACGGUGAAUACGUUCCCGGGCCUU